AUCCCAGAACUUUGGGAGGCCGAGGCGGGCGGAUCACCUGAGGUCGGGAGUUCGAGACCAGCCUGACCAACAUGGUGAAACCCCGUCUCUACUAAAAAUACAAAAUUAGCCGGCCGUGGUGGUGCAUGCCUGCAAUCCCAGCUACUCAGGAGGCUGAGGCAGGAGAAUUGCUUGAACCCGGGAGGCCGAGGUUUCGUUGAGCAGAGAUCACACCAUUGCACUCCAGCCUGGAUAACAAGAGCGAAACUCCAUCUCAAAAAAAAAAAAAAAAAAGUAAAUCUUUUGUUGUGUACAAAAUCACAUAGAAGCUAUGUUCCAGUUUGUUUGCAUAUGUCAGUCAGGUCAGAUAGAAUUCUAUUUACUAGGAUGUCAUCAACAAUCCACUCACACAGAGCUGGGGCCCUGUCCCAAAUUAAUGCAACCGUAAGAUGAAUUGCUUAAGAUGGAGAAACUUACAUGUAUUUAUGAUUUUGGAAACUCUUGAGGGCUUGUCUUAUACAUUUCAGGCUGAAGUAAAACUUCAGAGACAUUUCUCCCCAUAGUAUAUUGUAAAAUCAGAGGCCAGGCAGAAAAGAAGUAAAAGGCUAGGAUGAGGAAGUCAGUAGGGGCGGGGCGGGGGGGAUCGUUAACACCUAGAACAGUGCGAAGAGGCCACAGGAAACGGUCCCCUUCGGCCAUCCGGACCAGGGUGAGGCACUAGGGAAACCCAACGGGACACACCGCUCUCAGACAGGAAGAGUUGCUGGCUGUAAACAACUCAGGCUGUCUUGUCUUGUGAGAACAGUUACAGAAUGGACACCACGAGGGCAACGGACUUCUGAGAUAAGUAAACGCACCUCUCCUUGGCCACUUAGCUCCUCAAAAGGCCCCAGGGCCCCACCCUUCCUAGGUUGCCUUCCCAGAGUGCCUCGCGCCUUUCCCGGCGUGCCCUGCUGCCGCUCCCCAAGCUGCUCUCCCGGAGGCCUCGGGGCGCCCCUCCGCCAUCUGCAGCUCCCUGCAGACUUGCAGGCUCAGACGGGAGCUGUCCACCGCCUGCAUCAGGAAAAGGGCUUGCUUGCGUGUGGUAACCACCUUCUUCAACUUUCUCUGGAAGGAUUGUGGAGAGACCUUUUUCUGCUAGAGAAAGUGUGCAACAUGGUAAAGAGAACUGUAGGAAGAGAAAUGGCAGCCCUGCUUGAGCAGUGAGAAUAAUAAAAUGGUCAUCUGGAGAGCUCCAGAGACAGUUGGCAAGGUUCAGAUUCAAGCUUUACCAGGUAACAACUAUAUAAGGUUUCACUGUACAACGGAGAUAAUAUAUAGUACAUUCACCUCAUAGUGUUGUUGUAAGGAUUAUAUAAAUACAGGUAAUGUAUCUGACAUGUAGUAGGCAGUCAAUAAAUGUUUGCUAUUAUCAUUACAGCUGAAAACUUAAACUACUUACCUAUACCUAGAGAGACAGUGAGUAAUGAGCUAAAAAUAUGGCCUAGAUGAUUAUGUUUGAGGUUUCUUUUAGAAUCUUAAUCCAUCUGGCCUCAUACUAAUUUUCCUUAUUAUACUACCUGUAAUGUAACCUCCGCCCCCCAGUUGUCUAGCCUAUAUACACUUUCAGAAUUCUCUUACCCUAAUGUUCAUCUGGGUUUCUUGUUCACUCUUCCAAACUCUGAUGCUUCCCCUUGUAAAAUCCUCCAACUGUGCCCUCCCGAAUGCCCAACCCAUGAUGCACAAACUCUUCUCCAUCCUCCACCCUUCUAAAUGCAGUUUAAACACAAACUGGCUUUUUGCCCAGGACAUUACUUCCUUUUUCAGGAGGAAGCUGUUCAUUUGCCUCGCUCUUUAGUGCCAUUUCCAGACUGUUUCCCUUUAACUUUCUUCACCCGCAGUCACCUCAGAGAUCUCAGUGACACUAUUAAGACAGUG
Molecule: long non-coding RNA, 1896 nt
Organism: Pan paniscus (pygmy chimpanzee)
Lineage: Eukaryota; Metazoa; Chordata; Mammalia; Primates; Hominidae
Source: Ensembl